Molecule: unclassified non-coding RNA, 300 nt
Filed under: uncultured fungus
Lineage: Eukaryota; Fungi
Description: sequence contains ITS1
Rfam family: 5.8S ribosomal RNA (bases 1-105)
Source: RNAcentral
GAAAUGCGAUACGUAGUGUGAAUUGCAGACUUCCGUGAAUCAUCGAAUCUUUGAACGCACAUUGCGCCCUCUGGUAUUCCGGAGGGCAUGCCUGUCUGAGCGUCAACUUAUCAUCAAACUCAUGUUUGGUCAUGGAAGACGAGGGAACUUCUCUCGCUUCUGGAAUACAUUGGCAGUAGCUUACGCUUUCGCAACGUAGUAAGCACAUAUUCGUUGCAAUGCUCGUGUGAGAUGCUUGCCAUCAACCCCAAAUCUACCACGUUUGACCUCAGAUCAGGUAGGGAUACCCCCUGAACUUAA